This 439-nucleotide ribosomal RNA is filed under the name uncultured bacterium. Its description in RNAcentral is "partial 16S ribosomal RNA". It matches the Rfam family "Bacterial small subunit ribosomal RNA", at positions 339 to 795 of the family's 1533-position model. The record is from RNAcentral.
CUACGGGCCGCUCCAGUGGGGAAUAUUGCACAAUGGAGGAAACUCUGAUGCAGCAACGCCGCGUGGAGGAUGACACAUUUCGGUGCGUAAACUCCUUUUAUAUGAGAAGAUAAUGACGGUAUCAUAUGAAUAAGCUCCGGCUAACUCCGUGCCAGCAGCCGCGGUAAUACGGGGGGAGCAAGCGUUAAUCGGAAUCACUGGGCGUAAAGAGCAUGUAGGCUGAUAGAUAAGUUGGAAGUGAAAUCCUAUGGCUUAACCAUAGAACUGCUUCCAAAACUGUCUGUCUAGAAUAUGGGAGAGGUAGAUGGAAUUUCUGGUGUAGGGGUAAAAUCCGUAGAGAUCAGAAGGAAUACCGAUUGCGAAGGCGAUCUACUGGAACAUAAUUGACGCUGAGAUGCGAAAGCGUGGGGAGCAAACAGGAUUAGAUACCCGCGUAGUC